This is an RNA transcript of Quercus lobata, 3269 nucleotides long. It is a transcript of the gene named pentatricopeptide repeat-containing protein At3g13880-like, with no coding region annotated. The record is from RefSeq and is a predicted model, not a curated record. Lineage: Eukaryota; Viridiplantae; Streptophyta; Magnoliopsida; Fagales; Fagaceae. The transcript has 7 exons.
UCUAUAUAUAUUACUUCUCUUCAAAAUUUUUCCUUCUCAUGUCCUUUUCCUCUGCGAAGCCUACCGCCACCGUCAGCCAGCGAACCCAUUGCCGUGACUUGAACGGUGCCCGCUGGAAUCUCUUUAUUCUGUAAUUUUGGAUAAUACUUGAAAACGACAUCUAUCCAAUUACGUUUCAAAUAAUAGGAUCAACAAGAAUUUCAAACACAAGGAGUUUGCAUGGUAACAGGAAAUUACUAUUAUUCAGAUCCACCAGAAAUAUUCCAGCAGAAAGCCAGUCAACAAAUAAUCGGACUGUGGCAUUAUUAUUAAUCCAAUGGAUAUUAUUUUAUAGAGCAGUUGAAACAGAGACUUUGACAGUAUGAGAAGGAUAAGAAAUUGACCCAUGUACAAUUCAAAGAAAAAUUAGAGAGGAUGCUACUCAUCUGCUUUUGAAAGGCCUCCUAUGUUAAAUAGACGAGGAUUCCAACUCCAUUUGGGAACAAGGCAGAUAAAAACAUGUUUCUCCAGGAAACAAAACCCACAAAACCAAACUUUCUCCCCCACAGCACCGAGUUUCCUGGGCUCAUUCAACCUAGAAUCCCCUCCACCAUAUCGCCACCAGCUAUACCAUUACAUAACCUGCCACAACAUGCUCAACCUUGUCAUCAAAACUUUUCAUUGGACUCUGUAGCUUAUACAAAACUGGUCCAGUUCCCUACCAAAUCUGGGUCUCUUAUUUAUGGCAAGGCUGCUCAUGGCCACAUGAUUAAAACUGCUUUCAGAUCAUGCCUAUUUUUGCUAAACAAUCUUCUCCUUAUGUAUUGCAAAUGUGGUGAGAUAAAUAGCGCUCGUCAGAUGUUUGAUAGAAUGCCAAAGCACAAUGUUAUUUCAUAUAAUUCUCUGCUUUCUGGUUAUUCCCAGAUGGGUCUUUUUGUUAAGGCCAUGGAGGUGUUUAAUGAAGCAAGAGUUGUUGGUUUGAAACUUGAUAAGUUCACCUUUGCUGGUGCUUUAAAUCUGUGUGGUCAAACUGGGGAUCUUCUGUUGGAUUUGUACUCAAAAUGUGGUCAGGUCAAUAGGGCGGCACUUUUGUUUGAGUGUUCUAAUGACUUGGAUGAAGUUUCUUGGAAUUCCUUGAUUGCUGGUUAUGUUAGAAUUGGUGCCAAUGAGGAAAUGGUGAAACUUGUUGGAAAAAUGCACCAAUUAGGAUUGAAGUUGAAUACUUAUGCACUGGGAAGUGUACUGAAGGCAUGUGGCACAAAUUAUAAGGAUUCAAAUCAACAUGGGAAUGCACUUCAUGCCUUCUCAGUCAAACUUGGAUUGGAUUUGGAUGAUGUGGUUGCAACUGCAUUACUUGAUAUGUAUGCCAAGACUGGGGAUCUGGUUGAUGCAAUCCAAAUUUUCAAACUGAUGUCCGACCAAAGCAUCUUCAUCUAUAAUGCCAUGAUCUCUGGAUUCCUCCAUGGUGAGACCAUUAGUGAUGAAUAUGCAAAUGAAGCUUUUGAUAUUUUCUCUAAGAUGCAAAAGAAAGUAAUGAAACCCUCAAAGUUUACGUUCUCUAGCAUGCUUAAAGCUUGUAAUGCUGUUGAAGCAUUUGAUUAUGGAAAGCAAAUUCAUGCUCAAAUUUGCAAGUGGAACCUACAGUCGGAUGAGUUCAUUGGAAGUGCACUAACUGAUUUGUACUUUUUGUCAGGUUCAGUUGAGGAUGGAGCUAAAUGUUUUGCUGUAACUCCUAAGCUAGAUAUUGUCUCAUGGACAUCCAUCAUCUCAGGUUAUGUUCAAAAUGGGCAUUUUGGAAGUGCAUUGGCUUUGUUCUAUGAACUUCUCUCAUUUGGAAUGAAACCUGAUGAGUUCAUAAUAUCAAGUAUGUUGGGUGCUUGUUCUAAUUUGGCAUCCCCAAGAUCUGGACGGCAGAUUCAGGGAUAUGCAAUAAAAACUGGCAUUGGCAAAUUUACUAUUAUUCAAAAUUCACAAAUUUGCAUGUAUGCAAAGUCUGGAGACAUUGAUUCUUCUCGUCUGACCUUUGAAGAGAUGGAAAAUCCAGAUGUGGUGUCCUGGUCCGUGAUGAUCAGUAGCAAUGCGCAACAUGGGUGUGCAAGAAAGCAUUGAGUCUUUUCGAGUUGAUGAAGGGUUAUGGAAUUGCACCCAGCCACAUUACGUUCCUUGGAGUUUUGACGGCCUGUAGUCAUGGAGGUCUUGUUAAAGAAGGACUCCGAUUCUUUGAAAGCAUGAAGAAAGAUUACUGCAUGGCAGUUAAUGUAAGGCACUGUGCCUGCAUUGUUGACCUCCUGGGUCGUGUGGGAAAGUUGGCUGAUGCUGAAAAUUUCAUUCUGAACUCAGGCUUUGAGGAAGAUCCAGUGAUGUGGCGAGCCUUAUUGAGCGCUUGUAGGGUUUAUAAGGACACUGUCACAGGAAAACGUGUUGCAGAGAGAGUAAUUGAGCUUGAACCUCAGGGAUCUGCAUCUUAUGUGCUUCUUUACAACAUCUACAAUGAUGCCGGGAUAAAUUUACCUGCGACAAAAAUUAGGGAAUUGAUGAAAGAUCGAGGAGUUAAGAAGGAACCUGGUUUAAGUUGGAUCGAGGUAGGGAACGAAGUUCAUUGCUUUGUGGUGGGUGAUCGAUCUCACCCAAUGAGUCAAGUGAUAUAUACAUGCUUAGAAGAGAUGAUGAAGAGGAUAGAGAAAUUAGGUUACAUAGAAGAGAGGCCUAUUUCUAGUAUCUCUGAACCAAAACUCAAUGCCAGCACAGUGAUGAACUACCACAGUGAAAAGUUAGCUGUGACUUAUGGGAUUCUCAGUCUGCCAGCAUCAGCACCAGUGAGGGUGAUGAAGAACUUGAGAGUUUGUCAAGAUUGUCAUACAAUGAUGAAGUUCUUGUCGAGAGUAGAAAAGAGAGAGAUAAUUCUUAGAGAUUCAAUUCGUUUCCAUCAUUUUAGAGGAGGUACGUGUUCUUGUGGAGAUUACUGGUAGUUUCAAUAGAAGUUAAAUUUUGGGUUAGUGAUAGGAGAAAUGAGUAAAUGUUCUGGCCACAAAUGUUGAGUCAUAUGAGUGAAUAUUUUGCUUUAGUACUAGAAUCUAUAUUUUUCUAAAUAGCAAUGUUAUAGACAAUAAAUUUUACAAAUUAUUAAAAUUAUGAUUGAUGGGGGAAAAAAGAACCCACCACAAAGGUUGUAAGCUUAUUUUGUAUUGUAAGCUUAUUUUGUAUACAUAUUUACGCUUCUCAAGAAUUCUGAAAAAAAUAUUGAUAAGUCAACAAUAAUGUAAUUUUCUUGAUUUGGUUUCCAUUGCAAA